RNAcentral lists this ribosomal RNA (472 nucleotides) under uncultured bacterium. RNAcentral's name for it is "bacterial SSU rRNA". It matches the Rfam family "Bacterial small subunit ribosomal RNA", at positions 8 to 526 of the family's 1533-position model. The record is from RNAcentral.
AGGGUUUGAUCAUGGCUCAGAACGUACGCUGGCGGCACGCCUAACACAUGCAAGUCGAACGCAGUAGCAAUACUGAGUGGCAAACGGGUGAGUAUAAUGUGGGAAUCUGCCUUUUGGUUUGGAAUAACACGGGGAAACUUGUGCCAAUACCGGAUAAGCCCUUACGGGGAAAGUUUUAACGCCGAAAGAUGAGCCUGCACUUGAUUAGCUAGUUGGUAAGGUAAAAGCUUACCAAGGCAACGAUCAAUAGCUGUUCUUAGAGGAAGACCAGCCACAUUGGGACUGAGACACGGCCCAGACUCCUACGGGAGGCAGCAGUGGGGAAUCUUGCACAAUGGGGGAAACCCUGAUGCAGCGAUGCCGCGUGAGUGAAGAAGGCCCUUGGGUUGUAAAACUCUUUCGUCGGGGAAGAAAAUGACUGUACCCGAAUAAGAAGGUCCGGCUAACUUCGUGCCAGCAGCCGCGGUAAUUC